Molecule: long non-coding RNA, 246 nt
Organism: Choloepus didactylus (southern two-toed sloth)
Lineage: Eukaryota; Metazoa; Chordata; Mammalia; Pilosa; Megalonychidae
Exons: 3
Source: RefSeq, a predicted model, not a curated record
CGAAACAAGCCACAGGCAGGACUUUUUCAGAGCAGGAUGAAGCCCACCAAUUGGAGGAGCAGAAACCAGUGCAUUGUAUGCCAUGUAUGAUUUCUUCUUUCUGUGGGGUUUGGAGUCAUCCAUUUGAGGAGCAGGACAGGUAACUGAUGUCACUGGUAGAGACGGUUUCACUGAAAAGCUGAAUAAACUUCAGCCCCAGGACCCCUCAUUUGCACAGGCUCAUGAGUGGGUGUUGCUGGGGGUGGC